AUCCUCCCGGCUCCCACGACCCACAUACCCUUUCCUACCACUACUUUCACUUCCAGUUACUCUCAUUAGAGUCUGUCGAGGGUCACUCGAUAAUUAUCAAAUUAAACCAAUCCCUAAUUUCCCAAAUCCAUAAUUUUCAUCAAAUUCGUCGAAUAAUUGACUUCAAUCAAAGAGUCUAUUGAGACUUUGAGAGUUCCUUCAAUCCAUAUACAGGGUUUUUGUAUUUUAGCUUCUUCUCCAGCGAUUUUUUUCGGCUUCGCAUUUUUGUUCUUCUCAACCGAACAUUUUUCUCGGCUGCUAUUUGGAAGCCCAUCUAAGUAGCGGCCAACAUGUUUAGACUUGUAGAUCCUCUUCUAAUUGCCCACCAGCUUAGUGUUCCCCAGUGAGAAAAGGUAUGUCUUGCUACUGAUUUUGAUUGUCAUUAGACAAUCCAGUUGAGACUUUUGGCAAAGUAACAUCCAUCAUCUUUGAUAAUAAGUCCAAUUUGCCAAAAGUCUGGUACAUCAAAUUGCAUAAGGAAGCAGGGUUGAAAGAUUUCACUAAAACUACCAGGAAAAUAAGGAAAUCCUUGUUUACACAUGAGGCCGAAAAUUGUAAUUCUCGUAUAUGUUAAUAUUAGAUAUAUGUCAAGGCUAAGAAACUAUUAAAUUAAUUAUGACACCUUUAUUUUCUUUUCUUUGGUGGCAAGAAUUACUUGUGACAUUAUCUUACGAUAAGUAUGCAAAUAACCAAGACUAUUAAGGGUUUAGCUAUCUCCUAGAUGUUUUGAGGUGGUUGCAGUUUCAGAAAUGGGAAAGCGAUUUGGUCAACUCCAUAUCUCUUGUGUCUUGUCACUCAUGUGCAGCCUUGUAGAACAUACUGCUUUUACGCUGUUAUCAUUUUCCGUGGUUCAGAGGGUUAUCGUAAUAUUGUUUUUGGGCAAAGGAUUGGAUAAAGAAAGGACAAUAUUUGUGGUUUCUCUGUGAUUGUGGGUAUAAUGUUUAUGUUAUCCUCCAUAAUUUUGUGCAGUAUAUAUGUUACAGUCUUUGGUUAUGUGCUUCUUUGUAGAUAAAAUAUUUCUAGUAUAAUUUUUUAUCUUGUUAAUAACUUACAGCAACCAUGGUCAGGAAAGUAGCAAAUGUACUCGCAUUCCCGAGGUAACGAUUUCUGCCUAUUUUUCUGCCUUAUUCUUCUCACCAGAGAACUUUUAGAAUUUUUUUUAACCGAACUCAACUUACUAUAUUUGGUGAUAAAUAUUUUGUUAUGUUUUUACUCACUUGCCUUGGAACUGAGUUUGAUUGAAUUACUAACCCUGAAUUGAUAAACUUAUCUGGAUCAAAAUUAACUGUGUAGACUGUAGAGUAAAGAGAACAGGAUAUCUGUUAAACUUUUGACUCAAGGGUUCAAAAGUAGUGUCAAUGAACUUGUCCGGAUAAGGGCAUUCAAACUUGCAUAUUGGGAAUAACAGGUUGACUAGUGGUUAAUUGAAUUUCAAACAAGAUGUUAAAAUGUUAUAUUUCCUAUUUCAGGAGAUUUUAUUCUUACUUUCAUAGUGGUGAUUGAGAAAAUAAGUUGGUGAUGAUAGAUUGCUGAUGCAAAUUCCCUAAGCCGAACCUUGGUAGUGGUUUUAGAAAUCUUGGCUUAUGGAGUAAAGUUUUAAAGAAAACAACUUCAUGUGACUUAUAUCUUUUGCUGCCUUGAUACUUUUGACUAAUGAACACUGGUGUAUCUGUGCACCUCUCUCACCAACAUGUCUAGGAAAUAGCUCGAGUGGACAUUUUGCCUCCUGGAAGAUUGCCUGGAAAAUUAAGAGGCUAUUUUCCCAUGUGUUAAUGUCCAGUAGUUGUUCUCUACUGAUGAUUGUUCAUUAUACCAGUGCUGUGAUUAUGAUGGUCAGUGGCCUACUUAGAAGCUUAGGCUUCUCAUGCUUUAUCCAGCUUUAGUGUCAUCGGAAAAAGAAUGUCAUGGAUUAUGUACAUUAUGUCAUGAGAUUUUUGAAAGAGAUCAUCGGCCAUAAGCAAACUCGAAUAUUUGAAGGUUACUUUCAUGAUUGCAAUGUUCCGAAUCAUGAUCAAGAACAAAUUUAUGAAGUCGGAGAAUGGACGCGUCAUGUUCUUCUCGUGUGAAUCUUGUGGUGGAUUAAUUAUGUUCUUCGACUAUAUAUUGUCUACAAUGUUCUACUUUUAGUGUGUUAAUUUGAAAUAAAAGUACUAUAUGACACAGAUAAUUUUUUUCUUUUUUUUUCUAUUGUUUUUCUUCAUCUAUAAGUGUGUUGAUAACAUUGCAUAUGAUUUUAAGUUAUGAGAUAUCGAGACGUUUGUUUUUA
Molecule: long non-coding RNA, 2305 nt
Organism: Spinacia oleracea (spinach)
Lineage: Eukaryota; Viridiplantae; Streptophyta; Magnoliopsida; Caryophyllales; Amaranthaceae
Exons: 4
Source: RefSeq, a predicted model, not a curated record